RNAcentral lists this ribosomal RNA (400 nucleotides) under Pheidole sp. JS130521_55. RNAcentral's name for it is "partial 28S ribosomal RNA". Lineage: Eukaryota; Metazoa; Arthropoda; Insecta; Hymenoptera; Formicidae. The record is from RNAcentral.
AAGAUCGAACGGGGAGAUUCAUCGUCAGCGUCNCUGGCUUCGCGUCGAUGGNCGAUGUCCUGCGAUCUUUCGCGCGAGCACGCUGCCGUGCGCGCACNUCCGGCUGCGUUGUCGUGCACUUCUCUCCUAGUAGAACGUCGCGANCCGCUGGUUGUCGGUCUACGGNCCGGGGUGAUGUCUGUUGCGACNCCGGUAAAACGGCAUGCGGCAAACCCCCGGUCANUCACAGCCCGGCUNNCUNCUCGGCGGUACUCGCACGGUAUCAGGCCGCAAAGCUUUCUCUACGCUCUGCGUCGAGCUCGACGCAAGCGCGCGCCAUNGUACUCGGAGGCACGGACCCAGCGCCGUCCCCGGCCUUGGCCCGCUGUUGGCUGACGGUGACNCUUCGACAGGCUUUAAA